UAGGGAAUCUUCCACAAUGGGCGGGAGCCUGAUGGAGCAACGCCGCGUGUGUGAUGAAGGGUUUCGGCUCGUAAACACUGUUGUAAGAGAAGAAUGACAUUGAGAGUAACUGUUCAAUGUGUGACGGUAUCUUACCAGAAAGGAACGGCUAAAUACGUGCCAC
RNAcentral lists this ribosomal RNA (163 nucleotides) under uncultured bacterium. RNAcentral describes it as "partial 16S rRNA". It matches the Rfam family "Bacterial small subunit ribosomal RNA", at positions 355 to 511 of the family's 1533-position model. The record is from RNAcentral.